Molecule: ribosomal RNA, 2311 nt
Filed under: Salmonella enterica
Lineage: Bacteria; Pseudomonadati; Pseudomonadota; Gammaproteobacteria; Enterobacterales; Enterobacteriaceae
Description: partial 23S ribosomal RNA
Rfam family: Bacterial large subunit ribosomal RNA
Source: RNAcentral
AGGGGAGUGAAAAAGAACCUGAAACCGUGUACGUACAAGCAGUGGGAGCACAGGUUUACCUGUGUGACUGCGUACCUUUUGUAUAAUGGGUCAGCGACUUAUAUUCUGUAGCAAGGUUAACCGUAUAGGGGAGCCGUAGGGAAACCGAGUCUUAACCGGGCGUUAAGUUGCAGGGUAUAGACCCGAAACCCGGUGAUCUAGCCAUGGGCAGGUUGAAGGUUGGGUAACACUAACUGGAGGACCGAACCGACUAAUGUUGAAAAAUUAGCGGAUGACCUGUGGCUGGGGGUGAAAGGCCAAUCAAACCGGGAGAUAGCUGGUUCUCCCCGAAAGCUAUUUAGGUAGCGCCUCGUGAAUUCAUCUCCGGGGGUAGAGCACUGUUUCGGCUAGGGGGCCAUCCCGGCUUACCAACCCGAUGCAAACUGCGAAUACCGGAGAAUGUUAUCACGGGAGACACACGGCGGGUGCUAACGUCCGUCGUGAAGAGGGAAACAACCCAGACCGCCAGCUAAGGUCCCAAAGUCAUGGUUAAGUGGGAAACGAUGUGGGAAGGCCCAGACAGCCAGGAUGUUGGCUUAGAAGCAGCCAUCAUUUAAAGAAAGCGUAAUAGCUCACUGGUCGAGUCGGCCUGCGCGGAAGAUGUAACGGGGCUAAACCAUGCACCGAAGCUGCGGCAGCGACGCUGAUGCGUUGUUGGGUAGGGGAGCGUUCUGUAAGCCUGCGAAGGUGGCCUGUGAGGGUUGCUGGAGGUAUCAGAAGUGCGAAUGCUGACAUAAGUAACGAUAAAGCGGGUGAAAAGCCCGCUCGCCGGAAGACCAAGGGUUCCUGUCCAACGUUAAUCGGGGCAGGGUGAGUCGACCCCUAAGGCGAGGCCGAAAGGCGUAGUCGAUGGGAAACGGGUUAAUAUUCCCGUACUUGGUGUUACUGCGAAGGGGGGACGGAGAAGGCUAUGUUGGCCGGGCGACGGUUGUCCCGGUUUAAGCGUGUAGGUGUGUGUUCCAGGUAAAUCCGGUUCACUUUAACACUGAGGCGUGAUGACGAGGCACUACGGUGCUGAAGCAACAAAUGCCCUGCUUCCAGGAAAAGCCUCUAAGCAUCAGGUAACAUCAAAUCGUACCCCAAACCGACACAGGUGGUCAGGUAGAGAAUACCAAGGCGCUUGAGAGAACUCGGGUGAAGGAACUAGGCAAAAUGGUGCCGUAACUUCGGGAGAAGGCACGCUGACACGUAGGUGAAGUGAUUUACUCACGGAGCUGAAGUCAGUCGAAGAUACCAGCUGGCUGCAACUGUUUAUUAAAAACACAGCACUGUGCAAACACGAAAGUGGACGUAUACGGUGUGACGCCUGCCCGGUGCCGGAAGGUUAAUUGAUGGGGUCAGCGCAAGCGAAGCUCCUGAUCGAAGCCCCGGUAAACGGCGGCCGUAACUAUAACGGUCCUAAGGUAGCGAAAUUCCUUGUCGGGUAAGUUCCGACCUGCACGAAUGGCGUAAUGAUGGCCAGGCUGUCUCCACCCGAGACUCAGUGAAAUUGAACUCGCUGUGAAGAUGCAGUGUACCCGCGGCAAGACGGAAAGACCCCGUGAACCUUUACUAUAGCUUGACACUGAACAUUGAGCCUUGAUGUGUAGGAUAGGUGGGAGGCUUUGAAGCGUGGACGCCAGUCUGCGUGGAGCCGACCUUGAAAUACCACCCUUUAAUGUUUGAUGUUCUAACGUGGACCCGUUACCCGGGUUGCGGACAGUGUCUGGUGGGUAGUUUGACUGGGGCGGUCUCCUCCUAAAGAGUAACGGAGGAGCACGAAGGUUGGCUAAUCCUGGUCGGACAUCAGGAGGUUAGUGCAAUGGCAUAAGCCAGCUUGACUGCGAGCGUGACGGCGCGAGCAGGUGCGAAAGCAGGUCAUAGUGAUCCGGUGGUUCUGAAUGGAAGGGCCAUCGCUCAACGGAUAAAAGGUACUCCGGGGAUAACAGGCUGAUACCGCCCAAGAGUUCAUAUCGACGGCGGUGUUUGGCACCUCGAUGUCGGCUCAUCACAUCCUGGGGCUGAAGUAGGUCCCAAGGGUAUGGCUGUUCGCCAUUUAAAGUGGUACGCGAGCUGGGUUUAGAACGUCGUGAGACAGUUCGGUCCCUAUCUGCCGUGGGCGCUGGAGAACUGAGGGGGGCUGCUCCUAGUACGAGAGGACCGGAGUGGACGCAUCACUGGUGUUCGGGUUGUCAUGCCAAUGGCACUGCCCGGUAGCUAAAUGCGGAAGAGAUAAGUGCUGAAAGCAUCUAAGCACGAAACUUGCCCCGAGAUGAGUUCUCCCUGAGACUUA